CCACUCUUUUUAUUUUUUGAAAAAAGUGAGGCGUUUUAUAAUAGUCUAAAUGUAUUAAAAUUACAAACAUGUCCUUCAUAUGUCUCUUUUGUUAGUAAUUUUCUUAGAAGAUUUUGACUGGGAGAAGGUUGUUGAGGAGUAUAAAAUUUAUCGUGGAAAAAUCUUAAAACUAAAUCAGGUGGUUUUACUAAUUCAAUAAACCAGUGGCUAGUGAAUCAAUUAGUCUGCAUCGGUGGAGAAAGCUAGCUUGUUUUUGGAGGAGUUAGCACAUAGUAGGUCUUUGGUAUGGUGAUUUUGGCCUCCGUCCUUUUUCUGGUCUGCUGGUGUUUUGCCUGCAGUUUUAUCUGUGGCAUGUUUUUGUUUCCAAUGGGUUUGUAAUUGUAUCAGGUUUGCGCGUGUCUGUAUCAUGGUUCCUGAUUUGCUGUUGUUUUGCUUGUUUCAGGAGCUGUGAUGCUGCUGUGUAUCAGGUGUUGGCUGGCACUAUAAAUAUUGGCUCCAACAUAUUCAAGCUUUUGGCAACAGGAUUGAUUAAGUGUGUGCGCGCAGGUUUUCCCUGUUGGUUCCAUGUGCUUGUUAAAUUCAUAGUGGUCUUCUUAUGCAUCUUGCUUACAGUUUUGCACUACUGUUUUUUGCAU
This 635-nucleotide long non-coding RNA is filed under the name Trifolium pratense (red clover). RNAcentral describes it as "long non-coding RNA (TPRA_LNC007266)". The record is from RNAcentral. Lineage: Eukaryota; Viridiplantae; Streptophyta; Magnoliopsida; Fabales; Fabaceae.